RNAcentral lists this ribosomal RNA (496 nucleotides) under uncultured bacterium. RNAcentral's name for it is "partial 16S ribosomal RNA". It matches the Rfam family "Bacterial small subunit ribosomal RNA", at positions 29 to 507 of the family's 1533-position model. The record is from RNAcentral.
AUGAACGCUGGCGGCGUGCCUAAUACCUGCAAGUCGCGCGAACAGACGAGGAGCUUGCUCCUCUGACGUUAGCGGCGGACGGGUGAGUAACACGUGGAUAACCUACCUAUAAGACUGGGAUAACUUCGGGAAACCGGAGCUAAUACCGGAUAAUAUAUUGAACCGCAUGGUUCAAUAGUGAAAGACGGUUUUGCUGUCACUUAUAGAUGGAUCCGCGCCGCAUUAGCUAGUUGGUAAGGUAACGGCUUACCAAGGCAACGAUGCGUAGCCGACCUGAGAGGGUGAUCGGCCACACUGGAACUGAGACACGGUCCAGACUCCUACGGGAGGCAGCAGUAGGGAAUCUUCCGCAAUGGGCGAAAGCCUGACGGAGCAACGCCGCGUGAGUGAUGAAGGUCUUCGGAUCGUAAAACUGUGUUAUUAGGGAAGAACAAAUGUGUAAGUAACUAUGCACGUCUUGACGGUACCUAAUCAGAAAGCCACGGCUAACUACGUG